GACGAACGCUGGCGGCGUGCCUAAUACAUGCAAGUAGAACGCGCAGUUUAUACCGUAGCUUGCUACACCAUAGACUGUGAGUUGCGAACGGGUGAGUAACGCGUAGGUAACCUGCCUGGUAGCGGGGGAUAACUAUUGGAAACGAUAGCUAAUACCGCAUAAUAUUAAUUAUUGCAUGUUAAUUAAUUGAAAGGUGCAAUUGCACCACUACCAGAUGGACCUGCGUUGUAUUAGCUAGUAGGUGAGGUAACGGCUCACCUAGGCGACGAUACAUAGCCGACCUGGAAAGGUGAACGGCCACACUGGGACUUGAACACGGCCCAAAAUCCUACGGGGGGCAGCAGUAGGGAAUCUUCGGCAAUGGACGAAAGGCUGACCGAGCAACGCCGCGUGAGUGAAGAAGGUUUUCGGAUCGGAAAGCUCUGUUGUAAGAGAAGAACGAGUGUGAGAGUGGAAAGUUCACACUGUGACGGUAUCUUACCAGAAAGGGACGGCUAACUACGUG
This 505-nucleotide ribosomal RNA is filed under the name uncultured bacterium. Its description in RNAcentral is "partial 16S ribosomal RNA". It matches the Rfam family "Bacterial small subunit ribosomal RNA", at positions 28 to 507 of the family's 1533-position model. The record is from RNAcentral.